Long non-coding RNA from Ictalurus punctatus (channel catfish), 1744 nucleotides. The record is from Ensembl. Lineage: Eukaryota; Metazoa; Chordata; Actinopteri; Siluriformes; Ictaluridae.
CUUAAAGGAAUGAAAACAGAAGGGUUUUUUUGGUUGAAUAAAUGCUUUAUUAUAAUAGACACUUGAAACCAUUCUUUAAGACUGGAAGUAUGUGUAAAAAAAAAAAAUAAAUAAAAAUCUCCCUUUUGAAAAUAAUUAAAACAAAUAAGAAAUCUUUGAACAUAAGCAAUUAGGAGGGAAAAAAGGAGCAGGACCUACGUUGGCUUUGUUUGGAAGUAUUUUAGCUGGUGAAAUAGAACAAAACCAGAUAAUAUUUAUUCUAAAAUGUAGGUGUAAUGUAUAAAACGUAUGCGCUCGGUUGAGGUGGGUAUAUUUAGUUUUAUUCGAUAAGAAACUAUGAUCGGAAGCACAUUUACUGAAUGAAUCCCUUGAUGGACACCAACAUGUGAAUUUGCCUCAGCGUGUGAAUGUGAUUGGAUAAUUGGCUGAUGUGAUUGGAUAUUCAGCGCACGGGGCCAAUAUACACAGCGCAAUGGCAAUGCGUUUUUUUUCUGUGGGAACCGGGGCGCAGCGGGUCGCACAACUGUUGCACAGCAUCUCAGAUGUUUUUGUCAUUCUGAAAUGCCUGAGCCAAUGUCUGUCAUCGAAAUGAUUUGGUAUAAUUACCUCCCAGAACUGUCUCGCACGAUUCCGCUCCCAAAAUAUCAGACAUCCGCCUCCGAUCGCAGGAUAACAUGAGGUUUGUGAUAGCGUUUCAUCUGUGUGCUCUGAAGCGGAUGUGCUCUGAAGUCAUUUAUUAUAUUUGGGAAAAAAUAUAAUUCUCCACUCUGUGUGUGUGUGUGUGUGUGUGGCGAGUUUGACGAGUCUAACAGGCAGUCCAGGAGAUUCUCCGCCUGCUUUCGUUUUCUUUUUUUCAGUACUGUAGAUAAGUAAAUGUUCCUGGUAUGAUGACUGUCAAUGUUCAUACCGUGGUAUUCUGUGAAACCGGUAAACCGCUGCAACCAUAGUGUGCAGUAUGACUACAAUCUGGACGUACUGCAUCCGCCAUGUUGGCAUUGUCAUGUGAUCUACAACUUUAAAAGAGCCGACACGCUGCCUUCUAUCAUUUUUUAUUCUGACAGCUCUUCCAUGCCAGUCCCAGUGCCUUAUGGGAUAGCGCAGAGUGUAUUGCUUCCAUACUGCAGAAUCUUGGCAGAAGCAGUAGGUCAUCUGGGUGUUUCUCGCCUACUGUUUAAUGAAUGCUGAGAAUUUGUACAUACUACUUCUUUGGUGUACUGCUUUUCGCCUACUCUAUAGUAAGGUAGUAGGGAUAUUCUUGAUACUAGUAAUACUAGUUGAGUACUCGAGAUUUGAGUAAUUUUUCAUACUAGCCUUACAUUUGAUUCUUUUGUUCAGAGCACUGUUAAAGCAUCCUUUUUUCACCGCAGAAAUAUAGCAAGACUGUACCCUAUUCUAAACUUCUCUGUAGCUGAAAAGCUGCUAAACUCAUUCGUUGUCACUUGGAUAGAUUACUGUAACGCCCUUUUAGCUGGAGUUUCUAAAUCCACACUCAAUAAACUCCAAUAUGUAUAAAACUCUGGCGCCAGGAUCCUGACUGGGACCAGGACAUGCAAUCAUAUUAUUCCUGUUUUGGAGGCCUUGCACUGGCUCCUGGUCAGGUUCCGUCUCGAUUUUAAAAUGAUGAUGCUGACAUACAAAGGCUCCUCAUUAUUUAUCUGCUUUGUUAAUCCCUUACACCCCAAAUCUCAGACUGUGCUCCUCAUUAUUUAUCUGCUUUGUUAAUCCCUUACACCCCAAAUCUCAG